ACUCAAAGGAAUUGACGGGGGCCCGCACAAGCGGUGGAGCAUGUGGUUUAAUUCGACGCAACGCGAAGAACCUUACCUGGGCUCGAAAUGUACAGGAAUUACUUGGAAACAGGUACGCCCAGCAAUGGGCCUGUAUAUAGGUGCUGCAUGGCUGUCGUCAGCUCGUGUCGUGAGAUGUUGGGUUAAGUCCCGCAACGAGCGCAACCCUUAUCUCCAGUUGCUACCAUUUAGUUGAGCACUCUGGCGAAACCGCCUCGGAUAACGGGGAGGAAGGUGGGGAUGACGUCAAGUCCUCAUGGCCUUUAUGUCCAGGGCUACACACGUGCUACAAUGGCCGGUACAAACCGCUGCGAACCCGCGAGGGGGAGCCAAUCGGAAAAAGCCGGCCUCAGUUCGGAUUGGAGUCUGCAACUCGACUCCAUGAAGCUGGAAUCGCUAGUAAUCGCAGAUCAGAAUGCUGCGGUGAAUACGUUCCCGGGCCUUGUACACACCGCCCGU
This 498-nucleotide ribosomal RNA is filed under the name uncultured bacterium. RNAcentral describes it as "bacterial SSU rRNA". It matches the Rfam family "Bacterial small subunit ribosomal RNA", at positions 899 to 1397 of the family's 1533-position model. The record is from RNAcentral.